UCUUCCUCUUCUCUCCUCUCACGCGCCUCUUCUUCAAAGUCAAACUUUUCCUUUUGAUCCGACCCGAACCCGGCCGACUUGACCCGGAUUUUUCAGCGAGCUCCGACGGUUUUCAAGUGACGGGGUCAGCCCAGAUCGCUUUGUCUCCACCGUGUGCACCUCCCUGCGGUGGUGACAUGCAUCAAUUCGUCUUGUGCUACGCGAAUCGACGACAUGAAGGUGAUCCGACAACCCGGCUGUGACCCGACUCCUAUCUUUGGCAUGUCUGGUGUCGUCCGACCUUGUUGCCAGCCCAGAGUAGCUCGCCACCUCCUCACCUUCAUUCAUAUGGAGAUGGAUUCCUUCAAAUUAACUUCAAAGCAACAUAUUAGAGUAAGAGUUAUUGAUCCCAUUUAGAAACUCAAAUUUGGUGAUGUAGUGGCUUGUAACUCGCCGUGCUUGAUGUGUGCUUUCUCUUUAUUAUGAUGUUGUAAAUGUUAAAAGCUCAGUUUGAGGUGUGAAGUUGCAGAGUUGAAGCUUUCUGUUGAAGUAGCAAUUUGGCUUCGAUUCUGGCGAAUUUGGUUGUAUCUUCAGGUACGUACGUAAUGCUAGCUAUAGUGUGGUUAUAGUAGCUAGUGCCUUUGGUAUCGUGUGUUGAAGACGCAUCGGGAGUAAGAGGGUUACGUGUGCAGGUGGGGUAUUCAGUUUUGCAACAGUAGAGAUUAGAGAAGUUGAUUGAGCUAUAAGAGUGCUUUUAUUUACCCUCAGUUGCUCAAGUUGUGUACGACGAUGUAAAGGUAAUAUUUGAAAUUGAUUUGACUUAUCACGUGUGCAAAUUUAAAUUUUAUUGUUCAAAAUUCGAAGCGUGAUAAAACUAGAUCUCGCUACAACCACCAUCAGAGGAGCACCGGAGCACGACCACUCUCGCUAGAGAAGCAACCCCGUCACGGCACCGUCACCACCAUUGCAAGGAAUGGGGACGCAACACCCAAGCCUAUUAGAUCCAUGAACAUGAACCAGUAUCCAGAUCGGAUCAAGAAAACCCGACCUAGAUUGCAUCACAAAUGCGACGUCGCCAUCCCUUUCGCCACACUCACGGCGCUGACAAUCCGGACGGAUCCGCCCAAUAACCUUCUGCCCAAUAAGUGUAUUCUUAUUUACAUUUUUAAAUUUUGUUGAUCGAUCUAGUUUUCUAGUACAUACCCCAAGUAACCAUCCUUAUAUCAGUAAUACGGGAUAUACGUGUCCAUAUCAAUGAUAUCGAUCGUUAACAUUGUAAUUGAGAAAACAUUUGCUUACGAGGGGCACAUAUCUAGC
Long non-coding RNA from Argentina anserina (silverweed cinquefoil), 1296 nucleotides. RefSeq lists it as uncharacterized. The transcript has 3 exons. The record is from RefSeq and is a predicted model, not a curated record. Lineage: Eukaryota; Viridiplantae; Streptophyta; Magnoliopsida; Rosales; Rosaceae.